RNAcentral lists this ribosomal RNA (253 nucleotides) under uncultured bacterium. Its description in RNAcentral is "partial 16S ribosomal RNA". It matches the Rfam family "Bacterial small subunit ribosomal RNA", at positions 524 to 776 of the family's 1533-position model. The record is from RNAcentral.
UACGGAGUGUGCAAGCGUUACUCGGAAUCACUGGGCAUAAAGCGCGCGUAGGCGGGUUUCCAAGUCGGUUGUGAAAUCCCUCAGCUCAACUGAGGAACUGCAUCCGAUACUGUUUGUCUUGAGGACGGGAGGGGAGAGUGGAACUUCUGGUGAAGCGGUGAAAUGCGUAGAUAUCAGGAGGAACACCGGUGGCGAAGGCGGCUAUCUGGACAGAGUCUGACGCUGAGGCGCGAAAGCUAGGGGAGCAAACAGG